RNAcentral lists this ribosomal RNA (523 nucleotides) under Salmonella enterica subsp. enterica serovar Heidelberg. RNAcentral's name for it is "partial 23S ribosomal RNA". It matches the Rfam family "Bacterial large subunit ribosomal RNA", at positions 669 to 1190 of the family's 2925-position model. The record is from RNAcentral. RNAcentral also lists the same sequence under 2 other names. Lineage: Bacteria; Pseudomonadati; Pseudomonadota; Gammaproteobacteria; Enterobacterales; Enterobacteriaceae.
UAGGGAAACCGAGUCUUAACCGGGCGUUAAGUUGCAGGGUAUAGACCCGAAACCCGGUGAUCUAGCCAUGGGCAGGUUGAAGGUUGGGUAACACUAACUGGAGGACCGAACCGACUAAUGUUGAAAAAUUAGCGGAUGACCUGUGGCUGGGGGUGAAAGGCCAAUCAAACCGGGAGAUAGCUGGUUCUCCCCGAAAGCUAUUUAGGUAGCGCCUCGUGAAUUCAUCUCCGGGGGUAGAGCACUGUUUCGGCUAGGGGGCCAUCCCGGCUUACCAACCCGAUGCAAACUGCGAAUACCGGAGAAUGUUAUCACGGGAGACACACGGCGGGUGCUAACGUCCGUCGUGAAGAGGGAAACAACCCAGACCGCCAGCUAAGGUCCCAAAGUCAUGGUUAAGUGGGAAACGAUGUGGGAAGGCCCAGACAGCCAGGAUGUUGGCUUAGAAGCAGCCAUCAUUUAAAGAAAGCGUAAUAGCUCACUGGUCGAGUCGGCCUGCGCGGAAGAUGUAACGGGGCUAAACCAU